CAAAAUGUGAUGAGAAGGAAAGUACUUUUUAAAAUAGCUUGCAGAGAGCCUCGUUUGGUGAGAAGAGGUAGUGACGUUAAAGGGGAAAAUGGCCUUUGAACAGGUUGGUUGAAGCCGUUUGCUUAAACCAAUUCAGGUGCGCCUGUUAUAGCGCUACAGUAUGAUUGUACUGGAAACGAGCGGAUCUUUUUUAGCGAAGAGAUCAACAAAGGUGGUACCGCGAUUGCAUAAGCAUUCGUCCUUUUU
Molecule: regulatory RNA element, 246 nt
Organism: Enterococcus faecalis V583
Lineage: Bacteria; Bacillati; Bacillota; Bacilli; Lactobacillales; Enterococcaceae
Rfam family: T-box leader
About the family: Uncharged tRNA acts as the effector for transcription antitermination of genes in the T-box leader family. T-boxes are found upstream of many aminoacyl-tRNA synthetase genes and some amino acid biosynthetic genes usually in Gram-positive bacteria.
Source: Rfam